This 484-nucleotide ribosomal RNA is filed under the name uncultured bacterium. Its description in RNAcentral is "bacterial SSU rRNA". It matches the Rfam family "Bacterial small subunit ribosomal RNA", at positions 8 to 518 of the family's 1533-position model. The record is from RNAcentral.
AGGGUUCGAUUCUGGCUCAGGAUGAACGCUGGCGGCGUGCCUAACACAUGCAAGUCGAGCGAUUCUCUUCGGAGAAGAGCGGCGGACGGGUGAGUAACGCGUGGGUAACCUGCCCUAUACACACGGAUAACGUACCGAAAGGUACGCUAAUACGAGAUAAUAUGCUUUAGUCGCAUGGCUGAAGUAUCAAAGCUCCGGCGGUAUAGGAUGGACCCGCGUCUGAUUAGCUAGUUGGUAAGGUAAUGGCUUACCAAGGCGACGAUCAGUAGCCGACCUGAGAGGGUGAUCGGCCACAUUGGAACUGAGACACGGUCCAAACUCCUACGGGAGGCAGCAGUGGGGAAUAUUGCACAAUGGGCGAAAGCCUGAUGCCAGCAACGCCGCGUGAGCGAUGAAGGCCUUCGGGUCGUAAAGCUCUGUCCUCAAGGAAGAUAAUGACGGUACUUGAGGAGGAAGCCCCGGCUAACUACGUGCCAGCCGCGGC